GCUCUAUCCCUGCCGAGUGAAAGAGAUCUUUGGUUUUGCCUUUGCUGACUGCUGAUCUGAUCGUCUCAAGUCUGGUAAGUAAAGGUUUGUCUGAGGUGCAGUGCUGGGAAAUGUUUCUCAUUAUAGGAGAUUCAGUUUAGUGCUGUGAGUCUGCACAGCUCUUGGCAAUCAUCAAAUCCUAGAAAAGUCUAUGUGAACAUUUCCAGACUUACAGAUCUCUCUUAUCAUCAUACUCCAUUUUUAAUUAGGCCCUAUAUCGGCCAUGCUAAGUUUAUUGUAGAUUUAGCGGGGUGUGUAUUAAACAUGCCCUAUAUUUGACUGAAAUAUGUAGAAACUGCUGUAUAGGAGUAAUCUGUCUCCAAAUUUUUCAUUUUGCCAAAAGUCAUACUGAGUAAAUUAUUUUUUACUUUUAUGUUAACGGCUACCCAGACAUUAUGAUAUACUGUUGUACCAGGUAAGUACACACAGAAACGGGAAUUUGAGACCUUUGGGCAUUUAGGAUGUGUCAUAAGUUUGAGUUGAGUGCAUGUGAAGUGUUUAAAGCAGGUGGUCUGAAACUGUCUGCUCUAACUUCAUUGUGUGGGUUUAGCUUGACCAUAUAAUGUUUACAGUAAGUCACUGUAGCACCACAUCUUGGUUUACAGACUCUGUUUGUUUUUAUUGUGUUAAUAGAAUGUAAAAAUGUCCUUAGAAAUGUUCCACCACCAUAUGUUAAACAUUUUCAUUCAGUUGAAUCUAAUAAUGUACUGUACAACUCUUCAGUGUGUAAUGAUAUAUAUGUUCUGUAUUUUUCGGACUGUAAGGCGCACUAAAUUCUAAGGCACAUUAAGUCAAACAAAACAGAUAAGUCAAACUUUAUUCAACUCAUUUACAAUAACUCUCAAAAUUGUUCAGUUGUAAGACAUAAAAUACAGAACAAUACACUCACUUUUCAGGAUUUGUGGAUUGAUGAAUGUGGAUUGAUCAGUUUGAAAUCUGCUUCAUAAGCAUGGCUCUCAACAGGUGCCAGGCUCUUAUACACACACACACACACACACACACACCAUAUUAUGUUGAAGCACAGUACGAAUUACUCUACGAGGGUGCUGACUAUGGUAGCCAUGCUCCGACAAUACAUCAAGUGGUGCUGCUUUGUAGCUUACCAAAGUCAUACUAAAACAUUUGACAGAUUUUUGAAUGCCGUGUACCACAUAGAAUUGGUUUGAAAUCAAUAAGCACAACCAUACAUAAGGUGCACUGUCUAUUUUUGAGAAAAUUAAAGGCUUUUAAAUGUGCCUUAUAGUCUGAAAAAUACGGUAAAGCCAGGUUUAUUGGAAGUGUGUCUAAUUCCACUUUCUUUCUGUCUUACAAGUGACCUGCUGCAGAAUACCCUCUCCCUCUAUCAUUAACAAGCAAUUCAGUCUGUCCUAUCACUCUCCCUCUCCCUGCUCCAUCUUUGUUGACAAGCCAUUCUA
Long non-coding RNA from Oreochromis aureus, 1454 nucleotides. RefSeq lists it as uncharacterized. The transcript is spliced from 3 exons. The record is from RefSeq and is a predicted model, not a curated record. NCBI's taxonomy places the organism in Eukaryota, Metazoa, Chordata, Actinopteri, Cichliformes, Cichlidae.